Molecule: long non-coding RNA, 1483 nt
Organism: Oenanthe melanoleuca
Lineage: Eukaryota; Metazoa; Chordata; Aves; Passeriformes; Muscicapidae
Exons: 3
Source: RefSeq, a predicted model, not a curated record
AUUUUUCUCGUGUAAUCUGCUCAAGCUGUAGCCCAAAGGGGGCCCUGGAGUUUACUCAUCGUGAGGGAUUCAACAUGAACACAGCAAACAGAAGAGGCAGAGAGGGACCUCGUUCAUCCUUCACUGAUUUCAAAAGCUUGUAAAACACAAGUACUGCUGAGUUAUCCCUGUGUUCCUGCCCUUCAUCCGGUUCGUUUGCAGGAGGGAAUAAUGAUCUGUCACCAAGAAAAAAAAUACCAGCUAUCAGAUCUGUGUUUCCCAUCCACUCCUAAGACUCCUCAGUGCAGUGCCUGGAGGUGAUAGUGUGAACUCACUCAAGAAUGUGAAGGCAUUUUAUAAAUCAUUUGGUUCCAGAAGGAGGGGGAGAAAGGGAGAAGAUAGAGGGAUGAUAUAGUCUACAGCACAUACUCAGCAGUAACUCCCAACUGUCAAACUUCAGCAUUUUCUUCAGUUGCAACAGUGGUUAACAAAAAAAUAUUAAGACAGCAGACAUGAAAUGCACAUAUCAAGCAGCAUUUUUAAUCAACUGGCACCUUCCACUGCCCAAAUCUACCCGGACACUAUCACAACCCAGAAAAAAAGUUGUACAAGUGAAGAUAGGGCACAGAAAAAGGAGCAGAAAUGAACAACACAAACUGCUGUAAACAACUUGUGGCGCCCUUUUAUGUGCCAGAUAACAACAGCAGAGUGAAAGGAGUGUGUUUAUAAGUGUGGCUGACUCGCCUCACCUUCCUCCUGCCCCUUUUGCCGUGCUCACUACCCUGCUCCUGGGAAAAUAUUUGCAGACCAUUGCAAAUAAAAAUCUCCUUCUCACUUUCCAAGAAACGGAUCUGGUACUUUUCCAUUUCAGCCACACCAGAGCCAGGCUUCAGAGGGGAUUUUAUUCUCCAUGAGACUUGCCCUAAACUUUCUUUGCAGUUCCUUGCUAUCAACUUCUGCAAUUAAAAAGUAGUACCUGCAACUAAAAAAACAGUAUCUAAUUAUCUAUAGAAGGGAUGAAGCUUUUUCUGGGAGCUUGGUCUCACUAAAGUGCCCUUCCUGACAACAGCAGCAGUCCCCUGUGCUGCUUUCAGGAGCUGUGCACUGCAGUUCACAUGCAGCUCCCUGCUGGUGUAUACAGCUCCAGGUUUACAAAAUUAGGAUUACUUGGAAAGCACCUGAUUAACCCAAGAAUCUGCAACAUACGCAGACAUAUAGGUUUUUUCUGAGCGUGCAAACCAAGUAUGAGUAUGAAGGUUUGGAUCCAUUUGAAAGCAAACCAACCUUGAAAACCACAAGAUUCAUAAAGGCACUACGCCACAGGCAGAAAUCAGAAGAAGGUGUGAAAAAAUGACACACAUUUUCAUACUGUACAGAUCUAUUUGGAAAGGUCUGGGGUCAACAGAACACCUCCUGUGCUGGUCAGGAAGUCAAAGCAAAAGAACACUUUUUCUUUUGAAAAUGUGAGUGAGAAAGUGCAAUCCCUUAUCUACACUUGGACAUU